ACGUAUACAAUCUGGAAGCUUAUUUAUACGAAAUGCAUGCUUGUCAUACGGAGAUGUACCAAUUGCGUGCGUAGCACGAAUUUUGGGGAGGCGCCAUUCGGUUCUUGGUAGGUUGCCCGUCACUGGUCAGGUCGUUGAUGUUGUUGUUUUGUCGUUGUUCGCUGUUUCUCUUUGAUAUUGCUGGGUAGUUGUUGUUUAUAGAUGGCUGAAGUCGUUGUUAAUGGAUUGCUGAUCCGGUUGUUGUUGGAUUGUUGUUUGUACGGGAUCGAGUAAGCGAAGAGAUAUGAGGUAUGGUUCAGGUCGGUCAGGCAGGUUGGUUUUGGGCAAUUGGUGAAGUGGUGUGUUGUUGGGUUGUUGUUAAGCAAAGAAAGAGGAAAGGCCAUUGGGCUAGG
RNAcentral lists this long non-coding RNA (392 nucleotides) under Capsicum annuum. Its description in RNAcentral is "long non-coding RNA (CANN_LNC022494)". Lineage: Eukaryota; Viridiplantae; Streptophyta; Magnoliopsida; Solanales; Solanaceae. The record is from RNAcentral.